RNAcentral lists this ribosomal RNA (497 nucleotides) under uncultured bacterium. Its description in RNAcentral is "partial 16S ribosomal RNA". It matches the Rfam family "Bacterial small subunit ribosomal RNA", at positions 28 to 507 of the family's 1533-position model. The record is from RNAcentral.
GAUGAACGCUGGCGGCGUGCCUAAUACAUGCAAGUCGAGCGAACAGACGAGGAGCUUGCUCCCCUGACGUUAGCGGCGGACGGGUGAGUAACACGUGGAUAACCUACCUAUAAGACUGGGAUAACUUCGGGAAACCGGAGAUAAUACCGGAUAAUAUAUUGAACCGCAUGGUUCAAUAGUGAAAGACGGUUUUGCUGUCACUUAUAGAUGGAUCCGCGCCGGAUUAGCUAGUUGGUAAGGUAACGGCUUACCAAGGCAACGAUGCGUAGCCGACCUGAGAGGGUGAUCGGCCACACUGGAACUGAGACACGGUCCAGACUCCUACGGGAGGCAGCAGUAGGGAAUCUUCCGCAAUGGGCGAAAGCCUGACGGAGCAACGCCGCGUGAGUGAUGAAGGUCUUCGGAUCGUAAAACUCUGUUAUUAGGGAAGAAAAAAUGUGUAAGUAACUAUGCACGUCUUGACGGUACCUAAUCAGAAAGCAACGGCUAACUACGUG